Molecule: long non-coding RNA, 196 nt
Organism: Haliotis rufescens (red abalone)
Lineage: Eukaryota; Metazoa; Mollusca; Gastropoda; Lepetellida; Haliotidae
Exons: 2
Source: RefSeq, a predicted model, not a curated record
GUAUAUGUAUUGGGUUUCCAAAAUAAUGAUUACUCCCUGUUGUGUUUUGCGCGCUCCAGCGAUGAGCGUGAGUGACCCGCGAUGGUCAAAUGUGUGAGAAUUUCUGUGUGUUGCAGAGAGUUAGCGGCUGAGCACUAAUCUUCAGAACAUAUUUAAUGUUACGAAGGACUCAGCCAAUAAAGAGUGGUGAACACUA